AUUGAACGCUGGCGGCAUGCCUUACACAUGCAAGUCGAACGGCAGCGCGGGAGCAAUCCUGGCGGCGAGUGGCGAACGGGUGAGUAAAAUAUCGGAACGUGCCCUAGAGUGGGGGAUAACGUAGCGAAAGUUACGCUAAUACCGCAUACGAUCUACGGAUGAAAGUGGGGGAUCGCAAGACCUCAUGCUCGUGGAGCGGCCGAUAACUGAUUAGCUAGUUGGUAGGGUAAAAGCCUACCAAGGCGACGAUCAGUAGCUGGUCUGAGAGGACGACCAGCCACACUGGGACUGAGACACGGCCCAGACUCCUACGGGAGGCAGCAGUGGGGAAUUUUGGACAAUGGGGGCAACCCUGAUCCAGCAAUGCCGCGUGUGUGAAGAAGGC
RNAcentral lists this ribosomal RNA (385 nucleotides) under uncultured bacterium. Its description in RNAcentral is "bacterial SSU rRNA". It matches the Rfam family "Bacterial small subunit ribosomal RNA", at positions 30 to 415 of the family's 1533-position model. The record is from RNAcentral.